GGGUGGAAGUGAACCCCUCCCGGCAACUAUUGCUCCAGCCGGAAGCGCCUGGGGCGGCUACUGACGGCAACGCUGGUGGUCGAAGCCUCUGGGAAAAAGGCCCGGAAUAGCGGGUCAGCGAGCAAGCAG
Non-coding RNA from Methylacidiphilum fumariolicum SolV, 129 nucleotides. Lineage: Bacteria; Pseudomonadati; Verrucomicrobiota; Methylacidiphilae; Methylacidiphilales; Methylacidiphilaceae. The record is from Rfam.